GGUCUAUUGGCUCAAUGGUAGAGCACCUGUCUCCUAUGCGGACAACAGGAGGUUGUGGGUUCGAGUCCCAUGUAGAUCG
This is a transfer RNA of Aspergillus clavatus NRRL 1, 79 nucleotides long. It matches the Rfam family "tRNA". From Rfam's summary of the family: Transfer RNA (tRNA) molecules are approximately 80 nucleotides in length. Their secondary structure includes four short double-helical elements and three loops (D, anti-codon, and T loops). The record is from Rfam. Lineage: Eukaryota; Fungi; Ascomycota; Eurotiomycetes; Eurotiales; Aspergillaceae.